RNAcentral lists this ribosomal RNA (323 nucleotides) under uncultured eukaryote. RNAcentral describes it as "partial 18S ribosomal RNA". It matches the Rfam family "Eukaryotic small subunit ribosomal RNA", at positions 1470 to 1796 of the family's 1831-position model. The record is from RNAcentral.
CCCUUAGAUGUUCUGGGCCGCACGCGCGCUACACUGAUGCAUUCAACGAGUUUCUUCCUGGUCCGAGAGGAAUGGGUAACCUUUUGAAAGUGCAUCGUGAUAGGGAUAGACUAUUGCAAUUAUUGGUCUUCAACGAGGAAUUCCUAGUAGACGUAGUUCAUCAGACUGCAUCGAUUACGUCCCUGCCCUUUGUACACACCGCCCGUCGCUCCUACCGAUUGAAUGCUCAGGUGAGCCAUUCGGACUUUCAUCAUGCUGGUUUCCAGUUUUGAUGAAGGAAGUCUUGCGAACCUUAUCAUUUAGAGGAAGGAGAAGUCGUAACA